RNAcentral lists this long non-coding RNA (1133 nucleotides) under Jatropha curcas. Its description in RNAcentral is "long non-coding RNA (JCUR_LNC002227)". Lineage: Eukaryota; Viridiplantae; Streptophyta; Magnoliopsida; Malpighiales; Euphorbiaceae. The record is from RNAcentral.
GGAUCACGGAAAUCAAAUCCGAUUUUCUAUCGGUACACUCUAAAGCUUAAUUUGCAAUUUUUGAAUAAAUCCCGAGAUAAUUAAUUAAUGAAUUUAAUUAAGUAGUUAAAUAAAUUAAAUUUGAUAUUGUUAAAUAUAUUCCAUGAAUAUUAAUUAUAACUAUAAAAUCGGUGUUGAAAUAUAAAUUUCUAGCUAAUAAUAAUGUAAGUAAAAUUUGGAAAUUUUAUUAGUAAGUAAAUAGUUAUAGCAUAAUUAAUUAUAAUGAGAAUUUAAUUUGAUUAAGAAUAUGCCCGAUGAAUAGACUGUGAAUUGAAUGAAAGAAUGAAUGAUGGUUAUGGCGGACGAGAUGAGUUAAUGUGAAUUGCCCGAUGGAUGGGCUGUGUGUUGACAUAUGGUUUAUGUAAAAAUUUGGAUAGUCCAGUUUAUAGAGGAAAUGCUGCCGAAAUUUUUAUAGAACACUUAAUGAAGAAUUAAAUUAGUUAUAUUCUUAAUAAGUAGUGACGACUAAAAUUUUAGGUAUUAAGAAAUAUUAUACAAUAUUAUAAUUAUCAUUAUACAAUAUUCCUCACUGAAUAAUUAGAGAUUUUAUCUAAAGGUUAUAAAUUAGAAUAAUUAUUUAUAUAAAUGAGAGAACCUAGAUAUAUAUGCAUAUAUAACAAGUGAAUUAAAUGACCAGUAGCCAAAAUAAAUAAACGAAUGUGAAAUAUAAGUUUUUGAAUUAAAAUUCUUAUUUAGAAUUUUCUUGUUUAUUUUAAAGGUUUAUAAAAUACAAAAUGCGAGGACAAAAGCUGGAAGCAUGUGGCUAAAAAGGCAGUCCUUUUAAAGGACAAUAAAGAACUGUGAGUAGUGUUAGAUAACUAGUAUCAUCCACCUGCAUUCAUGCAUUCACGGCUAAAUGUUAUCAUGCAUUAUUUUGUUGAAUUGCCAUAUCGUGCUGCACUAUUUGUAUUGCUUGAUUCGCUGUGAUGUGAUAUUGCUGUGCUUUGCUUGUGUGGAAUUGGGAUGAAGUGGGUCACCAUGGGUUUGUGAGACUGUUUCUGUUAUAUGGAUCCUGAUUAUGAUUCUGAUUCUGUUAUAUGGAUCCUGAUUCUGAUUUCUGUUAGCCGGGUAAAUGGGAGAUCGGCGCCNNNNNN